UGGGGAAUAUUGCACAAUGGAGGGAACUCUGAUGCAGCGACGCCGCGUGAGUGAUGAAGGAAUUCGUUUCGUAAAACUCUGUUCUAUGGGAAGAAAAGGACUGUACCAUAGGAGAAAGCUCCGGCUCAAUACGUGCCAGCAGCCGCGGUAAUACGUAUGGAGCGAGCGUUGUCCGGAAUUAUUGGGCGUAAAGGGUGCGCAGGCGGCUUUACAAGUUGGAUGUGAAAUAUUGUGGCUCAACCACAAACGUGCAUCCAAAACUGCAAAGCUUGAGUUAAGGAGAGGUAAGUGGAAUUCCUGGUGUAGCGGUGGAAUGCGUAGAUAUCAGGAGGAAUACCGGUGGCGAAGGCGACUUACUGGACUUAAACUGACGCUCAGGCACGAAAGCGUGGGGAGCAAACAGG
This 404-nucleotide ribosomal RNA is filed under the name Fusobacteriota bacterium. RNAcentral's name for it is "Fusobacteria bacterium partial 16S ribosomal RNA". It matches the Rfam family "Bacterial small subunit ribosomal RNA", at positions 355 to 776 of the family's 1533-position model. Lineage: Bacteria; Fusobacteriati; Fusobacteriota. The record is from RNAcentral.